Molecule: ribosomal RNA, 465 nt
Filed under: uncultured bacterium
Lineage: Bacteria
Description: partial 16S ribosomal RNA
Rfam family: Bacterial small subunit ribosomal RNA
Source: RNAcentral
GACGAACGCUGGCGGCGUGCUUAACACAUGCAAGUCGAACGCUGAACCCGCUUCGGUGGGGGAUGAGUGGCGAACGGGUGAGUAACACGUGGGCAACCUGCCCCCGGCUCUGGGAUAACUCCAAGAAAUUGGGGCUAAUACCGGAUGUGACCGCUGGCCGCAUGGUCUGGUGGUGGAAAGGGUUUCCGGCUGGGGAUGGGCCCGCGGCCUAUCAGCUUGUUGGUGGGGUAGUGGCCUACCAAGGCGACGACGGGUAGCCGGCCUGAGAGGGUGACCGGCCACACUGGGACUGAGACACGGCCCAGACUCCUACGGGAGGCAGCAGUGGGGAAUAUUGCGCAAUGGGCGGAAGCCUGACGCAGCGACGCCGCGUGGGGGAUGACGGCCCUCGGGUUGUAAACCUCUUUCAGCAGGGACGAAGCGCAAGUGACGGUACCUGCAGAAGAAGCACCGGCCAACUACGUG